UUAUUACUCCUUCCGUCCGGAAAUACUUGUCAUGUGAAUGGAUGUAUCUAGAUGUGUUCUAGUUCUAGAUACAUCCACUAGUAUUCAUUUUGUGACAAAUAAUUCGUGCGGAGGGAGUAUAAU
Hordeum vulgare subsp. vulgare (domesticated barley) is the source of this 123-nucleotide non-coding RNA. Lineage: Eukaryota; Viridiplantae; Streptophyta; Magnoliopsida; Poales; Poaceae. The record is from Rfam.